GUGGGGAAUAUUGGGCAAUGGGCGCAAGCCUGACCCAGCAACGCCGCGUGAGGGAAGAAGGUUUUCGGAUUGUAAACCUCUGUCGCAAGGGACGAAAGCAAUGACGGUACCUUGUGAGGAAGCCCCGGCUAACUACGUGCCAGCAGCCGCGGUAAUACGUAGGGGGCGAGCGUUGUCCGGAAUUACUGGGCGUAAAGGGUGCGUAGGCGGUUGCUUAAGUUGGAUGUGAAAUACCCGGGCUUAACUUGGGGGGUGCAUUCAAAACUGGGCGACUAGAGUUCAGGAGAGGGAAGCGGAAUUCCUAGUGUAGCGGUGAAAUGCGUAGAGAUCGGGAGGAACACCAGUGGCGAAGGCGACUUACUGGACUGUAACUGACGCUGAGGCGCGAAAGUGUGGGGAGCAAACAGGAUUAGAAACCCUAGUAGUCC
Molecule: ribosomal RNA, 428 nt
Filed under: uncultured bacterium
Lineage: Bacteria
Description: partial 16S ribosomal RNA
Rfam family: Bacterial small subunit ribosomal RNA
Source: RNAcentral